GAGAAACGGCUACCACAUCCAAGGAAGGCAGCAGGCGCGCAAAUUACCCACUCCCGGCACGGGGAGGUAGUGACGAAAAAUAACGAUAGGGACUCAUCCGAGGCCCCGUAAUCGGAAUGAGUACACUUUAAAUCCUUUAACGAGGAACCAUUGGAGGGCAAGUCUGGUGCCAGCAGCCGCGGUAAUUCCAGCUCCAAUAGCGUAUAUUAAAGUUGUUGCGGUUAAAAAGCUCGUAGUUGAAUCUGUGUGUUGCGCUGUCGGUUCACCGCUCGCGGUGUUUAACUGAUACGCCGUGACACGUCCUACCGGUGGACUCUGCCGUGCUCCUCGCGGGGUUUCGGCGAGUCCUAUUUUAAUCCCAUCGCGGUGCUCUUUACCGAGUGUCGAGGUGGGCCGGUACGUUUACUUUGAACAAAUUAGAGUGCUUAAAGCAGGCUAUUUUCGCCUGAAUACUGUGUGCAUGGAAUAAUGGAAUAGGACCUCGGUUCUAUUUUGUUGGUUUUCGGAACACCGAGGUAAUGAUUAAUAGGGACAGAUGGGGGCAUUCGUAUUGCGACGUUAGAGGUGAAAUUCUUGGAUCG
Molecule: ribosomal RNA, 581 nt
Filed under: Dicroscelio sp. OSUC 266080
Lineage: Eukaryota; Metazoa; Arthropoda; Insecta; Hymenoptera; Scelionidae
Description: SSU rRNA
Rfam family: Eukaryotic small subunit ribosomal RNA
Source: RNAcentral